Long non-coding RNA from Limulus polyphemus (Atlantic horseshoe crab), 276 nucleotides. RefSeq lists it as uncharacterized. The record is from RefSeq and is a predicted model, not a curated record. The transcript has 3 exons. NCBI's taxonomy places the organism in Eukaryota, Metazoa, Arthropoda, Merostomata, Xiphosura, Limulidae.
ACUACCUUAUUAACAGUAAAAUAUCAGAGGAUCUUUACCACGAAUGUUACCGUAGUGUGGCUGUGAUGUUCGCUUCCAUUCCUAAUUACAAAGAAUUCUACGACGAGACAGACAUCAAUAAACAAGGCCUGGAAUGUCUGCGUCUCCUGAACGAGAUCAUCUGUGAUUUUGACAAGCUUCUGUCGAAGCCCAAGUUCAGCUGUGUGGAGAAGAUAAAGACGAUUGGAAGCACUUACAUGGCAGCUGCCGGUCUGCAGCCAGGCAAGGAAGAAAAUG